This 253-nucleotide ribosomal RNA is filed under the name uncultured bacterium. RNAcentral describes it as "partial 16S ribosomal RNA". It matches the Rfam family "Bacterial small subunit ribosomal RNA", at positions 524 to 776 of the family's 1533-position model. The record is from RNAcentral.
UACGAGGGGAGCUAGCGUUGUUCGGAUUCACUGGGCGUAAAGGGUGCGUAGGCGGUUGGGUAAGUCUGACGUGAAAUCUCCGGGCCUAACCCGGAAACUGCGUUGGAUACUAUCCGGCUAGAGGAAUGGAGGGGAGACUGGAAUACUUGGUGUAGCAGUGAAAUGCGUAGAUAUCAAGUGGAACACCAGUGGCGAAGGCGAGUCUCUGGACAUUUCCUGACGCUGAGGCACGAAAGCCAGGGGAGCAAACGGG